This 253-nucleotide ribosomal RNA is filed under the name uncultured Eubacteriales bacterium. RNAcentral's name for it is "uncultured Clostridiales bacterium partial 16S ribosomal RNA". It matches the Rfam family "Bacterial small subunit ribosomal RNA", at positions 524 to 776 of the family's 1533-position model. Lineage: Bacteria; Bacillati; Bacillota; Clostridia; Eubacteriales. The record is from RNAcentral.
UACGUAGGAGGCAAGCGUUAUCCGGAAUGACUGGGCGUAAAGGGUGCGUAGGUGGUUUGGCAAGUUGGUAGCGUAAUCCCGGGGCUCAACCUCGGUGCUACUACCAAAACUGUUGAACUUGAGUGCAGGAGGGGUGAAUGGAAUUCCCAGUGUAGCGGUGGAAUGCGCAGAUAUUGGGAAGAACACCGGCGGCGAAGGCGGCCUUCUGGGCCACGACUGACGCUGAGGCGCGAAAGCUAGGGGAGCGAACAGG